CAAAACAAACUGGCGUAUAAUACUUGCGAAUUUGUUUGGAGUUAGUGGAAGAUAAAAUAUAUUAUACCUACUUCAAAAGCGUAUAAUUUAAUGGGAAAAAACAUUUUACAUCCCAAUCCCCGUCUUCGAUUUAUAACUGCAGAGCAGACUGUAUUUAACUACGAGAGGGGAGGCGAAAUUUCGGUCUAAACGUACAUAAUAUGUACAGUUACAUUAAAGCCUAAAAUUCGUACACACAUGUAAAAGUAUAAAUGAUUUAUUGCGACACUCGGCUACUAACGUGACCUUCCAUAUAAUAUAAUAUUAUAAUAUUAUGUGUACAUACCGGAUGAUUUAUAGAACGCAAGCGCUAUGUACAAAUUCAAGUUUGCAGUCAAUUUUUGUGGUUCCCAAAAAUAAAGACA
This is a non-coding RNA of Cinara cedri, 404 nucleotides long. The record is from the annotation of a GenBank genome assembly. Lineage: Eukaryota; Metazoa; Arthropoda; Insecta; Hemiptera; Aphididae.